Molecule: unclassified non-coding RNA, 342 nt
Filed under: soil metagenome
Description: partial contains 5.8S ribosomal RNA, internal transcribed spacer 2, and large subunit ribosomal RNA
Rfam family: 5.8S ribosomal RNA (bases 5-119)
Source: RNAcentral
GAUGAGAACGCAGCGAAAUGCGAUAAGUAAUGUGAAUUGCAGAAUUCAGUGAAUCAUCGAAUCUUUGAACGCACAUUGCGCCCGCCAGCAUUCUGGCGGGCAUGCCUGUUCGAGCGUCAUUUCAACCCUCGAGCCCCCCCGGGGGCCUCGGUGUUGGGGGACGGCACACCAGCCGCCCCCGAAAUGCAGUGGCGACCCCGCCGCAGCCUCCCCUGCGUAGUAGCACACACCUCGCACCGGAGCGCGGAGGCGGUCACGCCGUAAAACGCCCAACUUUCUUAGAGUUGACCUCGGAUCAGGUAGGAAUACCCGCUGAACUUAAGCAUAUCAAUAAGCGGAGGA